Long non-coding RNA from Cyprinus carpio (common carp), 1090 nucleotides. The record is from Ensembl. Lineage: Eukaryota; Metazoa; Chordata; Actinopteri; Cypriniformes; Cyprinidae.
GAACGUCACCUGCUGGAUAGAUGGAGUAAAUCCCACUGAUGGUUUCUCCGGAGUUAUGGAUGUCGGAGCAGUCGAAUGGCUUUAAUCCAUCAGAAACAGACACCAUGAACCCCAUAAAAACAGAGAGCAAAGCCACAACAAACAUUGUCAUCUAUAGAGAGACACGACUGAUGAUCAUCCUCAUUUAUAAUGAUCAAACCACACUACAUGUGUGAUCAACAUGAACUUAUUGCCAUCUUUUCUUACUGCAAUCUUGCCUUUUCUUGAAAAAUUCUGAAGUAAAAAACAAUGUUGCUGAAUGGUUAUCUGAACGUUGUAAAUAUGUCUGAAUGUUUUGUGAGGUAAAUAAUGGAGAAUAAAACAGUAACUCACCGUUUGUGUUGUGAUGAUGUUCACGGGUCACAAGCACUCUGUUAAAUAUCUGUCAGAUCAGGCUCCACCUCUGUGUUACCACAUAGAUUAGAUAUAUGUUAAUAUUGUAAAACCCUCGAUUCUUUGCACGAAUUAGUUAAAAGUUAUAAUGUCCUAAUCUGCUUUUUUACACAAUGGUCUAAAGGUCACCCUGCAAACAAGCCUUUACGGGCUGCCAGCGCAGGGCCCCUGAGAAUUUGCUCAUUUGGCCUCCCUCAAUUCAUUUGGUUCCCUCAAUUAGCCUCCAGGAAGCCUUAGCACUGUUUUAUUGAAAAUAAUAAAGUUUCAAGUCACCAUUAUGGAGCUGAAAUUUAAAGUCUUAUCAAAAGUUUUAAUGCGAACAAUGCCGAGUGGAAAGACCGAUCCAAGAUUAUCCUCUGCCUCAGGCAAAGCAAACACGAACCAUGACUACUCACAGAUGGAUGUUACAAGUGUUGGGAUGAAGACUUCUGCAAAGUCGACACAGAGACUCGCACAGCUGCAUGGCCGAAGAUGGAGCAAACUAGGGUGGCAGGACAGAACAUGUGCUACAGAGAACAUGUCAGCUACAUCAAGGGUAAAAGGGUUAGUAUGAAUUAGAAAGAACUUUGGACCAAAGUGUCGUUACUCAUGCAGCACAAAUUUGAGUUAUGUUCCUUAACAACUUUAUGUUAAUAGCUUUCAUCCAGCUGAGUAGGCA